This 1596-nucleotide ribosomal RNA is filed under the name Coriobacteriaceae bacterium. RNAcentral's name for it is "bacterial SSU rRNA". It matches the Rfam family "Bacterial small subunit ribosomal RNA". The record is from RNAcentral. Lineage: Bacteria; Bacillati; Actinomycetota; Coriobacteriia; Coriobacteriales; Coriobacteriaceae.
GGGGCGCCCGAACGAAGAGUUUGAUCCUGGCUCAGGAUGAACGCUGGCGGCGUGCCUAACACAUGCAAGUCGAACGGUUAAGGCGGCUUCGGCCGCGGAUAAAGUGGCGAACGGGUGAGUAACGCGUGACCGACCUUCCCCCCGCACCGGGACAACCGCGGGAAACCGCGGCUGAUACCGGGUACUCCGGGGCCUUCGCAUGGGGGCCCCGGGAAAGCUCCGGCGGCGGGGGAUGGGGUCGCGUCCCAUCAGGUAGUAGGCGGGGCAACGGCCCACCUAGCCGACGACGGGUAGCCGGGUUGAGAGACCGACCGGCCACAUUGGGACUGAGAUACGGCCCAGACUCCUACGGGAGGCAGCAGUGGGGAAUUUUGCGCAAUGGGGGCAACCCUGACGCAGCAACGCCGCGUGCGGGACGACGGCCUUCGGGUUGUAAACCGCUUUCAGCAGGGAAGAACCUCUGACGGUACCUGCAGAAGAAGCCCCGGCUAACUACGUGCCAGCAGCCGCGGUAAUACGUAGGGGGCGAGCGUUAUCCGGAAUGAUUGGGCGUAAAGCGCGCGCAGGCGGCCGCUCAAGCGGGACCUCUAACCCCGGGGCUCAACCCCGGGCCGGGUCCCGAACUGGGCGGCUCGAGUGCGGUAGGGGAGAGCGGAAUUCCAAGUGUAGCGGUGAAAUGCGCAGAUAUUUGGAAGAACACCGAUGGCGAAGGCAGCUCUCUGGGCCGUCACUGACGCUGAGGCGCGAAAGCCGGGGGAGCGAACAGGAUUAGAUACCCUGGUAGUCCCGGCCGUAAACGAUGGGCGCUAGGUGUGGGGAAACAUUUUCUCCGUGCCGCAGCCAACGCAUUAAGCGCCCCGCCUGGGGAGUACGGCGGCAACGCUAAAACUCAAAGGAAUUGACGGGGGCCCGCACAAGCAGCGGAGCAUGUGGCUUAAUUCGAAGCAACGCGAAGAACCUUACCAGGGCUUGACAUCCGGGUGAAGCGGCGGAGACGCCGUGGCCGAGAGGAGCCCGGACAGGUGGUGCAUGGCUGUCGUCAGCUCGUGCCGUGAGGUGUUGGGUUAAGUCCCGCAACGAGCGCAACCCCCGUCGCGUGUUGCCAGCAGGUCAAGCUGGGCACUCGCGCGAGACUGCCGGCGUCAAGCCGGAGGAAGGUGGGGACGACGUCAAGUCAUCAUGCCCCUUAUGCCCUGGGCUGCACACGUGCUACAAUGGCCGGCACAACGGGUUGCGACCCCGCGAGGGGGAGCGGAUCCCUCAAAGCCGGCCCCAGUUCGGACCGCAGGCUGCAACCCGCCUGCGCGAAGCCGGAGUUGCUAGUAAUCGCGGAUCAGCACGCCGCGGUGAAUACGUUCCCGGGCCUUGUACACACCGCCCGUCACACCACCCGAGUCGUCUGCACCCGAAGCCGCCGGCCGAACCCUUCUAGGGGCGGAGGCGUCGAAGGUGUGGAGGGUGAGGGGGGUGAAGUCGUAACAAGGUAGCCGUACCGGAAGGUGCGGCUGGAUCACCUCCUUUCUAGGGAGAGCAUCUUGCAGGGGCCCGCGCGCAUCCUACCCCAUCCUCGGCAUCCGGCCUCCAGGGCUCCCGGAC